GGGCCCUUUAGCCGGCAGCCAUGUUCUUAAUGCCUUCUUGUUGUUGUUGAACUAUGCUUGAAAAUGUUACUAUGGAUUGAUGGAAGAGUACUGAUAAUGAUGAAGCUAAUGCUUUAAUAUAUUUUGUUCCUUGAGAGUGUAGGCCUGGUGUUUCUUCCUCAUUGGUGUCUUUCUUAGUGCUCUUUCACAAUUGUGAAGUUCGAGAUAAAUCUUUUUCUGCUAGCUAGUACUGGGGUUUUUAGACAAGAACCAGCUGUCUGGAUAGCAGAUAGUGUAUAUCUCAACUGAGUUUUCAUUUCUUCUUCUUCGAGAGAAAAAAUUUGGAAGGAAAAGCACGUAUAGAGGACACAGACAUGCCUAUGAAGAUGCAAAUCCAAGUCAUGACUUCUGCUUCUCAGGCUCUGGAUUUCUAUGAUGUCCAAGACUGCAAAUCCAUUGCUGCCCACAUAAAAAAGCAGUUUGACCUGAGAUACGGGAGGGGAUGGCCAUGUGUGGUGGGUUCAAAUUUUAUUUGUUUUUUCACUCAUUAUAAAGGGACUUUUAUCUACUUGACAUUGGAGACCCUCAAUUUCCUAAUCUUCAAAGGAGCUUCUUCUCCCUGAUUGAUUAAGUCUCUGCAUUUGAUUGCCAAGAAGUUCCAGAGAGGCAAGUGGAAGGGAGGAAAAUAGGUACUUCAGAAUAGUAGAAGCGAAAAAGAACAAAAAACAGGUCACAGGGCAGUUGCACCGAUCUUUUCAUGUAAAUAUGGCAGCUAGUUAUCAUGAUAUUCACCAUUAUCAUUGCGCAUUCA
Molecule: long non-coding RNA, 790 nt
Organism: Populus euphratica (Euphrates poplar)
Lineage: Eukaryota; Viridiplantae; Streptophyta; Magnoliopsida; Malpighiales; Salicaceae
Exons: 3
Source: RefSeq, a predicted model, not a curated record